This 33122-nucleotide long non-coding RNA is filed under the name Phaseolus vulgaris (common bean). RNAcentral's name for it is "long non-coding RNA (PVUL_LNC001905)". Lineage: Eukaryota; Viridiplantae; Streptophyta; Magnoliopsida; Fabales; Fabaceae. The record is from RNAcentral.
UUCGAGGAGCUCGGGGGAACAAGACCUGGGGGUCCUGGACUUGUUCAACAGUGCAGGGAGAGGCGACAUGGAAUACGCCGGCGCAGCCGCACACGGCGGCGAGGACGGAGUCGUAGUGGAGGAGCUCCAUCUGGAAGAGGCGGAGGCGCUCCGACGCUCCAUCCAAGGCUUCUAGAUGCUUCGUCUCGCCCUCAUCGUCUGUUAGAAAAAGUUGUGUUGUGCUGUGUAAGUAUUGAGAUCAAAUGAAUGAAUAAUGAGAGUGUGGAUUGUAUUAACUGAGAUUUUGGACGGUGGCGUGAACGGUGUAGCCGCGGUCCAGAAGGAGGUGGACGAGCCAUGAACCGAUGGCGCCGCUGCCGCCGGUGACACACACCACCUUCUCCAUUUGGCAACUGUAUUCUAUCAACCUCCAGUUUUGUACUGUUCCAGUGUAAUCUGCUGAGGCAAAAAAUAAUUAUAAUUUGAAGUCAUAUCUGUACAAAAAAAUAUAUAUGAGUGGUGCAUAAUGAAUCUCAACACUCACAAAAAUCUCAUUAAAUUUUAUUAUUAUUAUAUUAUCAUCUUACAUGCACCAUAUCAGCAAAACCACAAAUUGCAUCACAUUUUGCAACAGAUGCAGGAAUUGAACCAGAAAUCAGAUGAUAGCAUAUACAAUGUUGUGAUGAAAAUUGGCAUGCUUAUUAUUAUUCAUUAAGCAAUAAUAUAUUAUAGAAGUAUUUUAAUCACUGGAUAUUGUUCUACUAGAUGUAAGAAACAGGUCAGUGACUUCUGUUGUUGAAAAAGUAGUAUAAUAGUUAUAAUAUAAUGUGAUUAAAAACCAUUUUUAUUGUUUUAAUAUACUGCUAAUACUACUAUAAUUAAUGUUAUAUUAAACGUUCAUAAUAUUAUUGUUACAACGUAAACCCACCCUUUAAUUGCAAUUUGUACUAUAUUAAAAUAUGAUGUCAACAUAUAUGUUAUUAUAUUAUUAAUGUUAUUAUCCUUUGGAUUUUUGUGUAUGUUUUUAUUUGGAUUUUCGUUUAUUCAAAAUUUUCAAGUAAAACAUUUAUUCAUUUGAGUGGAUUUUUUUAAAGGACUCAACUACGACCUGCUUCACGUGACAGAUGUUACACCUUAAGUACAUUACACCUUUAGCUCUCACAGUAUUCAAUUAACGCUUGAUUUAGCUUUCUGCAGUGUCUUUAUUCCUUAUCUUUCCUUUUGUCAUCAUUUUUAAUGUGCUUCUCUUACACUCUACUUCAUAAAGUUUAUAACCUACAACUUGCUUAAGCAACUUUCUUCUUACAUGGUUGUGCUCACACUUUACCUCAUUUGUCCUUCAUCGCAUCAGAAGUUCAGAUUGUUCACUUAUUUUUGUAAGACGUUAUUCAAAUUUUUGUUUCAAACUCUUGCAAUUUAAAUCGAUUGUUUUAUCCAAUGUUUUUUUUUUAUGGUUGUCUGUCCUUUUCAUAUCUUAUUUUCAACAAAAUGGCUUAUGAAGAACUUCUCCAUAUGUUGUUUGUUUUCACUUAUGGUUAUUGUUCUUUGUCUGCAUUCUAAUUUUUAAGUUUAAUUUUUAGUUAUCUUUAUAUUGGCAUUUCGGAUUAAAUGCAUCUUCAAUUAUUUUUGUAUGAUUUUUUUCCAUUGCUUACUUACUCUGUUUUCUAUUAAAAUUAAAACUUAUUACUUCUUUCAUGGUGGAUUUCAAGCUUUUGUGCUAAAGAAAUGACCUUUACAACUACAACAUCAGCUGUUUUCUAAAUACUUUUUGUUCUCGUUGUUUUUUUAAAAAAAUAUAAUACUAUUUAGGCAUGUAUUGUGCUCCGCUAGAUUUUAUUUAUGUGUUGUCUCAUAAAAGUCUUUCAUUUCACAGUAAAAUGUAUAGUGCAACUUAAAGAGAAAACCACUAUUUCGUUAUGUGUUCUUUUUCAUUAUAUUUUUCUCAAUUUUAUUCUAGUUGUUUUGUUUAACCUAUAUAUGCUUAUGUUGUUUUUAUGUUUUUCUUUUUUUUGUCAUAAGAUUUUGUAUUUAUGAACCUCUUAUUCAGAUUGUGUAACAUUUGAAUCUGGUUUGUUGCACACACUAACAUUGGCAGCUAAAACAAAGUUUUAUUGUUAGUUUAUAUUUACGAAUGUAUGUGUUCUUCUAUUUAUUUAUGUCCUUUCUUAUUUGACCUAUGUCUUUGACUAAUUGAUCAACACACCAAAUCUUCGCAACUACAAAAAUCUUUUAGUAUGCAAGAAUACAAUGUUGUUCCUUCUUCUUCACAAGUUUUAACAAAUUUGGUUUGCUUAUUUUGUUUUUAUGUAUUUUUGCUUUUUUUUUUAUAUGAUUAUGUAAUUAUGAACCUCUUAUGUUGUUGGAUGUCCAGAUUGUGUAACAUUUUAAUCUAAUUUGUUGCACACAAUUAGAUUGGCAGCUAAAGCAAAAUUUUAAUGUUAGUUUAUAUUUACGGAUUUCUGUGUUAUUCUAUUUAUUUAUGUCCUGUUUAUUUAACCUCUGGCUUUGAAGGAUUCAUCAACACACCAAAUAUUGGCAACUCCGUCAAGGAGAUACAUCCUAGAUUUUUUUUUUCUUCUUGUUUUCCAUGCUUGUAAUGCCCAACAUGAGUAUCUAAUUCUACCCUUUGAGAUUUGAGAUUUUCUCUUUAGUUGUUCCUCUACUCUAACACAAAGUUGAACUAAAUCAUUUAAAUCAUUAUAAGGAAAAAGUUCAACUUUAUCCUUAAUUUCAUAAUUAAGACCACUUUGGAAUCGAGCCCUAAUCCGUGCCCUUAACAUAAAUAACUCAAUUAUCUGCUUCUAUUGUUCUACAAUCAUGUUUAUAUGCGUUAACUUAUUGAGUUGUUUCAUCAACUCUCUAUCAUAUUAGGAAGGCUCAUACCUCUUCCUAAGAGCUGAUCUAAACUCAUUCCAAUACCUUAUUUAGGGAAAAUUAUGCAACCUAAGAUCUUUUGUAUAGGUGGUCCACCAAGUCAUGGUUGAAUCUUGAAAACUAAGGGUAGCUAAGGUAUCCCUCCUCUCAUGAUUUAUUUGGUGAGCCGAAAAAAAUUUCAACCUUCAUCUCCAAGGUUACGUAAUCUUCUAUAUUUGAUGAAAAAUGAAAAUAAGGAAGGUCAAUCUUAGGCUCUUUAGGCACAUGAUGGGCUCGAUGUCUAUGUUGUCUAGCAUUUUAUUGGUAGUAGUAUGUAUUGUGAUACCUACUAUAAUCAUAUUGGCUUUGGUAAGGGAUUGUAUGAUGAUUGCUUAUAUGUUUGUGAGAUCCCUCUCUUAGGAAAUCACAAAUUUAGAAAUUAUUUCUUUCAAUUCUGAAAAAUUCAUUUGCUUGUUUUGUUACUCUUUCAUAGACAUUAAAAGAAUCUUGAGUGUUUUGAUUACCAUGAACACUAGAUUGAUGUGAAGGAUCACCCAUUGUUGAAUUAAAAUAGAAAAAGUUUUCACAAAAAUUUACAAUUCAAUUGAGUGAUCAAAAUAUUUUUUGAAAAUAUUUUUUUAAUUUUUGGUGAAGUAAAUAGAUCAAGUAUGAGAGUUCUCCAAGUUCACUCCCACGAAAAGUGAGGUGAGUCACAAUGGACUACUUACAUACCAAGAGCUUAUCCCAAAUAAUUCUCAACAUAAGUUCCCUCAAAAUAAUUUUAGAAAUGAGAGUGGGUGUUUGAAUGUCGAAAUGAAACUAAAGAUCAAAGGAAGAUCUACUAAUAAGCAAAAAAAGAUAAAAAUCCUAUGUAUCACAGAUACUUAAAAGCAAGAAAAUAAAGGAAGGAAAUAAAGGAAGGAAAUAAAAGCAUGAAAUUAAAGCAAGAAAUUAAUGCUAGUGAAAAGUAAAUUAGCCGCAUCCUAAAGUUCAAGUGCAAUUGACACUAAGACUCCAGCAGCACACUUACACCACUAAUGCACAUGUAAUCUAAGAAUUUGAAGUAAAAUAAGUACAAAAGAAGAUGGACAACAAUAUAGAUAAAUAGUUAAGUGAAUCUCAAGAGAACAUUACAAAGAACUUACUUGAAAUGGACUUUAUUAAAAAUUUUAAUUUCAAGAAAUAUACUAAGUUAUGUUGGAGAUCCCACAUCGACUAGAGAUAAGGACAUUUCAUAAUAUAUAAAUGGGUGCAGACCUCAAUCUUAUGAGCCGGUUUUAUGGGGUUGAGUUAGCCUUAAAGUCCACUUCGCAAUAAGUUACUUUUAUACAUAUAGCUUAAUGAACAUAUCAAGGCAUAAGUAAGUAUAUUUGAUUAUUGUUAUAUAACAAAUUCAUUUGUAAUUCACAUUCCUAAAAGUAUUUACAAAAGAUUCGAAGUAAAGCAUGUCCUUAUCUCAAGAUGCACUACUUGUAAACAAAUAACCCAUCAUAUUCUACAUAUUCCUUUGACAAACUUGAUUACCCGAACUAGAAGUUGCUCAGUUGGAGAUCUCACAUCGACUAGGGAUUAGAGCCUUUUAUUGUAUAUAAAUGGAUGCAAACCUCAACCCUGUGAGCCGGUUUUAUGGGGUUGAGUUAGGCUUAAAGUCACAUCUCUAUCUUAGUGGAAAGUAUUGAAUAGAGUAUAAAUCAUAUACAUCUGUGUUAAAAUGAGUAUACAUCUAUAUUAAAAUGAGUGAUGUCAUUCAUACAUCUAAAGAAAUCAAUGUACAUUCUCAUUUCAUAAUAAAAAGAUAUGAAUGACAAUUACAACACAAAGACCCUACCUACCACGAGUUGGUCAUACUCUAAUCUACGCCCAUAAACUAUUUCCCGUGAGUUCUAGGCAUGGAGGCUUCUCAAUGUUUCAAGCUAUAAACAAAGACUGAGAAUUGUACACUCAAUCAUACAAUAAUAUAAAUAAAAACACAGGAAAAAUCAAUAUCCUCGCAUACAAUAACAUAAUCAAGAGGACAAAUUAUAAUAUACAUCAAAAAAUUAAUUUGGUGAAUUUAAAGACUCAACCAUACAUUCAAUCAAAUCAAAAUGUAUUUCACAAGUAUUAUUAUAGGAUAUGACAACCCAAACUAACAUCGUUUUCCUCCCUCAUCCAACGUCUACUUUCAUGACUUACUACUUAAAAGUACACCUUCAUUGAGAUUAUUUAAAAAAAAAACUUAAAUUGUUAUAUGAAGGUGCAUGGGGAAAAUAGAGAGUGGAGGAGAAUUUGCCAAACUAAUGCCCUUUUCUCUUUCCUUUUUUGUACGUAUGCAACACUUUAUAUUCUAAUUUUCAUGCACAUUUCAAUUCUUCACAAAUGACCUACAAACAAAUAGUGGUCCAUAUGCAUAAAACAAAAUGUAACUAGGGUUUCCAUUCGCAUGUAAACACCCCACGUUUUUCUUACUGUACCCAUAUAAAUUAUCCUUAUUAAUUUAUAAUAUUAUUAAUAAAUUGAAUUUUGAAAAAAUGAUUUUUCUCAUGAUUUAAAACUAAUUUGUUUAACAAUUUGAUACAUACAUUAUAUUAUAGUUAAUGAAAAUAAUAAUUAAUAACUAAAAUCUUAAUAACUAAUUAGAUACAAUUUAAAAAUUAUUUUAUAAUUUUUAUUAAUAAUAAAAACUAUUUAAAUACUAAUACUCAUUCAAUUAUAUCAAUUUCCUUCCAAAUCCUCCUCAUACAUAUAGUAAAGAAAUUGUUUUUCGUUUUCCAUGUUCUUUACACGUUUUCUAUUAAUUUCUUUGUGGACAAUAAGUUUAAGCAUUCCAUCUUCAUUUUGAAAAAAGAAACAAACAGGUGAGAGCUACUCAUACGCAAGUUCCUUUUUCAUACUAUUAGAGAAGUGUAGAUUAUGUCAUAGAAGAGCGUCUAAAGGUAACAGAGAUACAAAAAUGUGAAGACAACACAGAAACAUGACAGAAAUAGAGAUCCACCCAUGAACUAAAAUUAGGUAGAAAAUGUUUUACAAAGAUGUCUCUCGUCACUUGUUUUAGAACAAUGCAAACAUAACAACAACCACACCAACAAAUAUAACAGAUUAACAACAACAGGAAUUUGCACCAAACAUAUGUGCCAUAAGGACUCAUAUUGCAGCAGCAAUUAUGGAAGGAAUCCUUUUUUCUUCAAAUCCUCUACAGAAUCCUUAAUAAUCUCCUCAAUUGGAGUGAUUUGCAAACCCAAAUCCAUAAGUUUCUUUGAUCCAUCCUUCACUCUCAAUAAUCCUGGUUGGGUAUCUCGUUGCAUCCUUUCAAGCAAAAUCACAAAAUACAUCAUUCGCAACUAAGUUAUGCAUUAACAAUAGAUGUAUGAAGUGUGUGGGUAACUUACUUAGGCACAUUGUACUCUGGAUAAAGUUCACCAACUUUGGCCGCAAAAUCACCAAAGUGAGAGAUAGAUUCAACACACACAUGCCUACCAACUGCAGAUUUGUUCUCAUACACCAAAAUAUGUGCCAAUGUUACAUCCUUCAAGUGGACCGAUCCCAUAUAAAUGUCCUCGUAUGUUUCAUCAGAACCUGCGACGCGACAUACAAAUUUGUCUCAAAUUAUCAGUAAUUCCCCUAAAAAAAUCAUAACUUGGGGAGUUUGAUAUUAGUAUUCGAGUCAACAAUUAUACUGUGCAAAAUCUAAUGAAAAGAGUAUAGCACAAUCAAACAAGUCUAAUACUUUUCACGAAGGCAUCAAGUUCUAAAUAUCCUACACAGCUACACCAUCAACUACACUGUCGCAGGUCUUAGAAAACAUAUAAAAUAAUAAUAAAAUAAAAAUAUGAAUAAUAAAUUAAUAACAUAAUAAUAAUUAAAUAAUUAAAAUAAUAAUAAAUAAUAAACAAUAAUAAUGUUGGAGAUCUCACAUCGACUAAAGAUUAGAGUCUUUCAUUGUAUAUAAGUGGGUGCAAACCUUAAAUUUAUGAACUUGUGAGUCAUUUCAUUGUAUAUAAAUAAAUGAAAACCGAUUUUAUGGAGUUGACUUAGACUUAAAGUUUAUUUUGUAAUAAAUAAUAAAAAUAACUGAUAGUAAAAAUAUUAAAAUUAAAAUUAUAAACUAAUUAUAAUAUUAUAUUUUUUAUUUAAUUAAAUUAGUUUAUAAUAAUAUAAAUUAAUUAAUUAUUAUAUAUAUUAUUUUUAAAUUUUUUAAAAUUUAUUAUAUUUAUCAAAUUAGUAAUAAACUUAAUUCAAAAAACUUCAUUUUACUCAACUCCUCAAAUUCCCAGUAUCAAAUUUACUCUCCAUUUGAAAAAAACCCAACUUGAUACAAUGAGUUUAAAAAUAACUAUCUAAAAUAAAGAAUAAAUUUAUACUUAUAUAAUAUAAAAAAUAUAUAUUAAAAUAAUAAUAUUGAAAAUUGUAUAAAAAUACUGCAUUGUAUGAUUAUAUGAUUAACCCAAAAGAUAAAGCAUUCUCAAGCUUUUUGGGUAGUAGAAGAUUUCUUGAUACCAUAUUAUAAUAAUAUAAUAAUAUUUUAAAUUAAAAAUAAAUUAAAUAUAAUUAAAAUAUUAUUUUAAGGAUUUGUCAAGUGGAUUUUUUUAUUAUUGUAUGACCACCCAUUUUAGAACUUUUCCAGUUCACAUUUCCAAUAUUGAAGGAAACUCCUGCUGCAAAAAUAGAAAGAAAUAUUUGGAAAAUCCAACUGAUUAAGCAUUAGUGUCUCUACCUUGAAGAAGGCGCAAGAGCAUGAGCAUGCUUGCAUUAAGCCUGGGUGAAAUAAUCGGACCCAUCACAGUGCCAGGAUUCACUACAACAACAUCCAACCCACUCUCCUUUGCAAAUUCCCAAGCUGCUUUCUCCGCCAAAGUCUUCGACAAUGGAUACCACAACUGUUGCACACACAAACACUUCACACACCAACACAUAUAAGAAAAAGAAACAGAAAAUGAAAAAAAUGAAACCCUUUCUAACCCCUUUUUGCUUGCAAAAUUCAACGUCAGCCCAGCAGUCCUCCCUCUUUGGAACAUCACCGGGCCAACUGGGGCUCGGAAUAAUCGCCGAGACGGAGGACGUGACCACCACGCGACGCACUCCUGCUUCUUUCGCUGCCGUUAAUACGUUCACGGUACCCUUUAUCGCCGGGUCCAGAAGAUCCUUCUGCAUGAAGACUCAAAUGGGAUGAUGAAAAAACCCAAAAGAUUGAAAAUUUGUGAAGAGAUCGAGGAAACAAGACCUGGGGAUCCGAGACUUGAUCAACAAUGCAGGGAGAGGCGAGGUGGAAAACGCCGGCGCAGCCGCGCAUGGCAGCGAGUACGGAGUCAUAGUGGAGGAGCUCCAUCUGAAAGAGGCGGAGGCGCUCCGACGCUCCAUCCAAGUCUUGUAGAUGCUUUGUCUCGGCCUCAUCGUCUGUUAGAAAAGUUGUGUUGUGCUGUGUAAGUAUAUAUUGGGAUGAAACGAAUGAAUAAUAAAAGUUUGGAAUGUGCUAACUGAGAUUUUGGACGGUGGCGUGAACGGUGUAGCCGCGGUCCAGAAGGAGGUGCACGAGCCAUGAACCGAUGCCGCCGCUGCCGCCGGUGACACACACCACCUUCUCCAUUUUGCAGCUGUAUUCUAAGAUGCACUACUUGAAGAACUCCACUGUACUAAGAUAAUGAUGACACGUGUAAGAGAGGAAGAAACAAAGAAAACGAAAGACAGCCACAGAAAGAACAGAGAAAAAAUGAAAACGACGUUCAGAUAAAAGGCAAAAAAUGACCGAAGCAAACAGUUCCAAACAGCAAAAUAUUAGGUUUUAUUUUUUAGUGACUAAAUUAAUAUUGAAUUAUAAAUUUUUAAAGAAUACUUGUAUAAUGUAAUUGUCAUAUUUCUCUAUUAUGUAGAAUUGUAGUGAAAUGGAGGUUAAAUAAUGGUGCCCAACUUGCUAGCUGAAGGUUUUAAAAGGCAAGGAAAAAAUGAUAGCAAAUUAACCGUCAUGUACAAAAAAAGUGGUGGUCCCACAAUCACAAAAAUAGCAUAUAAAUUAAAUAAAAGAACUGACACGUAGAGUUUAGUGUAAUUUGAUGAUUUAUUUAUAAAUUAUUAUUUAUGGUUAUUUUACUGAUUUUUGUAAUAAGUAUUUGAUAUAGUUUAGGAGAGGAUAUGGUAUGCUUUAAUAAGAGGAUUUGAGCACACUUAAGCUUAAAUGAGUGUAUAUAAGCAACAAAAGAAAGAAAAAUAAAUCUAUACAAUUGUUGGAUCAUUCCAAGACUCAAUCAUAGAGGAACACAAACUCAUAGUAGAUAAUUUUUUCUUUUCAUUAAUUUAAUUUCCAACUCAUUGAGAUAAUUAUAAAAGCGUUUCUAUCCAUAACAUUAUGACAAAAUGUAGAGUACACCUUAUUUUCUUAAUAUAUAUAAUUUGACUUUUAUUAACCAAGUGGGCUUCUUCAAUGCCUAAAUCAUUUUAAUAUUUGGCUCCAUUAUUGUGUACCUGUUUCUCAUUUUCUGGUUCUUAUCUCAGACCAACUAAAGCCCACCACGUAUCGUUUCCCAAUUUUUACUUUAUGCAUAUGGACCCGCUUUUUGUUUGUUGCUAUUUUACUUUAUUCCUUUUCAUUUUAUUUUUAAUUCAAAAUAUUAUUAUAUUAUUAUAAGUGUUUGUUAAGUGUAUCUUAUUUACUGUUUUUUAUUGUUUAUGGUUUUAAAGAAACUUUUCUCUUUUGUCAUACAUUCACAUGGGGAGUGCUCAUUUGUUUGCAUGAAAAUUGAAAUACUAAGAGUUGCAGAUGUACAAGAAAGAAAGAGUAGCUCUAAACAAAGAAUAACUUUAUUUUUUAAAAUAAUUUCAGUAACAUUCUUAUAACUUUCUUUUAUUUACAGUACUUUCAUUCUUAUGUCGUAAAAUUAGAAAAAGUAGUUUUUUAUCAAUCAAUAUCGAACGGGUGAGUCAUUUAGUUUCGGAAAUCGAUCAACUGCGUUAAAAUACAUUUAAUACACUCAAUAAAUGACUAUUGUUACAAUUAUGAAAACUUCCGACAAAUCAAAGUCAUAUUCCAUCGAAUUUGGGUGACACCCCCAAGAAAAUAGCUAAUAUUGAUUUAUUGAAGAUAUUCUCCAAAUAUACAUCUCUAUAAUUCAAGGAAUCCCCUAAAAAGCCACUUAACACUGAUAUUUGAUAAAUGCGGUUCAUCACACAAAAUGACUCAUGACUAAACAUUAUAAAUAAAUAUUUUACAAAAGAGGAAUGUAUGUUUUUUAUCAGUUUCACUAUACACUCUUAACACAAGGUACUCACUUGAUCGUCGAAAAAUCUUUUGCAAGUUAACUCCUAAUCGACUAUUGAGAAAUUGAGGAUAGGGAGUCUUGAAGUUUGAAGGAGUGAAGUACUAAGGAGCAAGGGAGGGACCGACAACCAAAACAAUUGUUACAGUCAAUCCCAUGUACUAUUUAUGCUCACUUUGUCAAUACAAGUACAAGUUCCAUCAUUUCAACGUGUGUAAGAGGCUUGACGAGAAGAUUUGUUGUAUUCGACAUUCCCCAAUGCGAAGAUAAUUUUUUUUUUUUAGUUUUAUACUUCAUUUUUGCACAUCAUUUUUUUAUGAAUUUUGUGGCUUCCAAAAAAAGAAAAAAAAUAAAUGAAUAAAAACACAGUCACCAUGAGCAAUCACCAUCACUUGAAAAUGAAGAAGACACAACACUCUCCAUCAAAUAUUGUUGGAAUUAAAAAAGAGUAUGGAAGUGGAGAAUGAAGGUACGGAGAUGCAAGGAGAAUUUGCCAUCAAUUUUGUGCAUAUGGGAUUACUUUUUGCAUCACAUUUUGGUAUCACCCUUCCUUCAUAGGUGUUUCUUUCUGCACCUCUACAUUUUUCUUCUUGCACCUCUACAUUUUUCUUCUUGCACCCCUACAUUCAUGUGUAAUUACAAAGUAUCUCUAAGACAUCUAAAAAAACCCAAAAGGAGCAUAUCUCACUCUUUCUUUCUUCCUUUUCUACAAUUGUUGUGCACCUUGUUCAAGGAGCGAACAAAGGACAAUAAGUGGUAAUGCAUUGGGAUGUUGUUGGUGGUUCAUUUUCUGAAAUCUUGAUGGUGGUUAGAUGAUUUCUAAGAUGACUCUGUAUUAAGAAAAGAAGAUAAGUAAUAUUAUUUUUUGUUUACACUGUAUUGAGAAAAGAAGAUAAGUAAUAUUAUUUUUUGGUUACAUAUUGGAUGUUUAAUUUUUUAACUAAUUUUGAAUUCCGUAAUGCAACUUUUAGGAUUUCAGAGACAAGUGAGUCCGUAAUAGAGCACAUUGAUCCAAGAAUUAACUAGAUUGGUGUAUUUGUGUGGUUAUUUACACUUUAUAAACAUGGUUGUAAUUCCUAGCUGUAAUGGCAAAUAGAAAACUCUUGUAGCAGCCAAAUGGAUCCAGACUUUUUUUGUAAAAAACGUGGUGCCCCACUUGCAGCAAACAGAAAAUAACGAGUAAAUAAAAAAAUAGGGUUUGCAGGAAAUAUAGAAAACAAUGAGGAAAGAAAAGAAUGGCAUGUGAAGGCACUGUAAGGAAGGGUGAUGCCACAUCGUGAUCAGAAUGAGUGGUUGUGAUGGAUGAAUGAAUAAUUAAGAUUCCUUCACAUUCUAAACAGUAUCUCACUUUCAUUCUCUAACCAUUUAUAGUAAUAUCCCCACGUAUUCUUUCUUCUUUUAUAACAAAAACAAAAACAACCACCCCUUUUCUCUUUUCUUUUUUAAUUUACUACUUUUAAUAUUAUUAUUUUAAUAUUUUUUUAUAUCAUUUAAUUAUAAAUCAUUCUUUUAUUCUGCUCUCCAUGUGAAUGUUUGAAGAGUAAAUCAUCUAGGUGUCAAAAAGAACAUUGACAUAUUGGUUUAUAAUUAAAAAUUCUUGAUUCUACAUAUUUUUAACUUUGAGUAGGAAGUUGAUGUUAUAUUAUUAUGUUUAUAUUUAUUAGUUCAAAUUUAAUUGAAUUGAAUAACUGAUUUUUUUCUUUAAUUUAUAAUAGAAUUAAACAAUUAUUAAAAUAAUUCAUAUUUAUUAAAACUAACCACACCAACAAAAGUUUAACGAUACAUAUGAUAGUGCCUCAUUUUAGAACUAAGAGGAAUUUGCAGCAAACAUGUGGCUUUUAGGACUCGUAUUGCAGCAGCAAUUAUGCAAGGAAUCCUUUUUUCUUCAAAUCUUCUACAGCAUCCUUAAUAAUCUCUUCAAUUGGAGUGAAUUGCAAACCCAAAUCCAUAAGUUUCGUUGAUGCAUCCUUCACUCUCAGUAAUCCUGGUUGGGUAUCUCGUUGCAUCCUUUCAAGCAAAAUCACAAACUACAUCAUUUACAAGUACGUUAUGCAUUAACAAUACAUGUAUGAAGUGUGUGGGUAACUUACUUAGGCACAUUGUACUCUGGAUAAAGUUCACCAACUUGGGCUGCAAAAUCACCAAAGUGAGAGAUAGCUUCAGCACACAGAUGCCUACCAACUGCAGAUUUGUUCUCAUACACCAAGAUAUGUGCCAAUGCUACAUCCUUAAAGUGGACCGAUCCCAUAAAAAUGUUCUCAUAUGUUUCAUCAGAACCUGCCACGCCACAUACAAAAGGUCACAAAUUCUCAGUAAUUCCCCUAAAACAUCAUAAAUUGGGUAGUUUCAUGUUAAUAUUCCGGUCAACGAUUAUAGAUUAUAUGGUAAAAAAUUUAAUAAAAAAAAAGUGUAGUGAUUUUCACGAAUUAUAAAUGUCCUACGCAUCUAUACCAUCGACCAAGUUGUAGCAGGUCUUGUGAAAUUAGUCUAAUAGUUAGGUAACAACAACAGUAGCCCUAUUCACAUUAUACCAUUUUAAUCAGUUAAAAAUGUAUGCAUCAUUCAUCACAAGAUCCCUAACAUGGUGUUAAAUAGUGGUAUGCGACUAUGACUUUAGUGGUUCCGUCCACAGAUUUGGACGGAUGAAUACAAACAGAAAGCAUGAAAAUCAAAAGUAAAAAAUUGUUAGAUUCUUUCCUCGCAUAGCUGUGAGGAGUAGCAAAGAAAGUUGAAUAAACAUUAUAAUCAUAUAUUUACAAUAAAAUAUAUAUUCUAUAACGGAUCAUUACAUAGUCUGAUGACAUAUAUUUAUCAAAUAAUCCAUUUUUUUAAUAAUAUAAUUGAUUAUGGAAUAUACAUGUUAUUAUAUUUUUAUAUAAUUAUUAUAUUAUAUAUAUACACUAAAAAAAAUAUAAAUAUAGUAAAAAAAAUAAUUAGUUGUUAUAAUAACUAAAUUAGAAAUUAUUUUAAAAACUAAAAAAAAUAAUUUUUAAAUUAGUUUAUAUUAUUAUUAAAUAGUUUUGUAAUUUGUAUUUAAUUAGCUACCAAGGUUUUAACUCCCAAUUAUUUAAUUUCUAAAUUUGGUCGUAAAAAUUUUGGUUGCUAAUUAAAUACUAAUUUAAAAAUUAUUUAAUGAUAAUACAAACUAAUUUAGAAACUAAAGUUUUUUUUUCUCUAAAAUGAUUUAUAAUUUAGUUACUAUAUCAACUAAAUAUUUUUUAUUCUCUAAACAUAGUUUUCUAUUUGAUGUUUUUUUUUAGUGAUAUUAUUAAUUGAUUAAUAUUUGUAUUUUUAUUCUAAACAUAAUUAAUUAUACAAUAUAAUACAAUGUAAUAAUAAUAAGUAGUCAAACAAUAAAGAAAUAUAAAAUAAUAAUAAUAAAAUAGUCUCUACCUUGAAGAAGGUGCAAAAGCAUGAGCAUGCUUGCAUUAAGCCUCGGUGCAAUAACCGGACCCAACACCAUCCCAGGAUUCACUACAACAACAUCCCACUCACUCUCCUUUGCCAAAUCCCACGCUGCUUUCUCGGCCAAUGUCUUCGACAAUGGAUACCACAACUGUUGCACACACAAACACUUCACACCCCAACACAUAACAAAAACAAACACAAAAUUCAAAAAAUGAAAACCCUUUCUAACCGCUUUUUCCUUGCAAAAUUCAACGUCAGUCCAGCACUCCUCCUUCUUUGGAACAUCACCGGGCCAAUUGGGGCUCGGAACAAUCGCGGUGAUGGAGGACGUCACCACCACGCGACGCACUCCAGCUUCUUUCGCUGCCGUUAGCACGUUCACGGUGCCCUUUACCGCCGGGUCCAGAAGAUCCUUCUGCAUGAAGACCCAAAUGGGAUGAUGCAAAAACCCUAAAGAUUGAAAAUUUGCAAGAAGAUCGAGAGAACAAAACCUGGGGGUCCUGGACUUCAUCAACAAUGCAGGGAGAGGCGAUGUGGAAUACGCCGGCGCAGCCGCGCAUGGCUUCGAGUACGGAGUCGUAGUGGAGGAGCUCCAUCUGGAAGAGGCGGAGGCGCUCCGACGCUCCAUCCAAGGCUUUUAGAUGCUUUGUCUCGGCCUCAUCGUCUGUUAGAAAAGUUGUGUUGUGCUGUGUAAGUAUAUAUUGGGAUGAAACGAAUGAAUAAUGAGAGUGUGGAAUGUACUAACUGAGAUUUCGGACGGUGGCGUGAACGGUGUAGCCGCGGUCCAGAAGGAGGUGGACGAGCCAGGAAGCGAUGGCGCCGCUGCCGCCGGUGACACACACCACCUUCUCCAUUUUGCAACUUAAUUCUAACACGAAAACGAUCACUAGAGACUUGAGAAGUCCACUUUGAAAUCAAGAGAAGAAGAAAGAAACAAGUGUAAUGAUGUGACGAACAUACACAUUUUUAUAGAAUAAUAUCACUUCAAUACUAUUAUUUUAAACAUCUAUACAUCCGUAUUUUAUUAUUUUAUUCAAUUUUUAUGUUAAAUUUCAUAAAAAAUUAACAUUAAAUAUAUAAAAAAUAUUACUUAAAAAAUAUUUAUUUUCUUUUUCAAUUUGAGUUUUUUUUUUUUUGAAGUUUUUACUCUUCUUCCAUUGAUAGUUUUGGAAUGAGAGAGUAUAAUGAUGAUAAUGAUUUUAUAAAAAAAUAUAAUUGUUUCUAAUGAGGAAUUGAAAAUAAAUGUUAUUUUAUUUGUUAAAUUUUAUGUAAAAACUUGAUCGUAUGUUUUAUUUUUUUCUUUUGUCUUAAAAUUAAGAAAAGAGUAGGAGAUGUGCAUAUGCAAUAAUAUUAAAAUAAAAAAUAGUUUUAAUUUUUAAUUAAUUUAUAUAAAAUAAUAAAAUAUUUAAUUAUAUUAAUAAAAUGAGAUAUAUUAAAUAAAGAUAAAAUAAAUUAUACACUAAAAAUCGAUUAUAAUAAAAAAAUUAUAUAUAGAUAUAAAUAUUUUUUUAUAUUAUUUAAUUUCAAAGUUAGUCUUUAUUAUAUAUAUUUAAUUGUCAAACUGUAUUAAAAAAAAAAGACAGGGACAGUAGAAUUAAUUUGACAGAAAACGAAAGACAUGGAAAAUUUGACAACAAAAAUAUCGAAAUCAGCAAUGCAGAAUUAAUUAUAGGAAAGUUGGUGAGUACGAAAACCAAUCCAAUUUUUUAAAGGAUCCGGAUUUUUGACAACGUACGCAUCGUAUAACUCUGAAAAAAUCUUAAUAUUUUAAUAGUGUGUGAUCUUCUGUCAUAUUGGAAUCUUUUUCUUAUCUUUUUUGUAGUUUUCAUAUUUUGAGGUUUCUUUCUUUUUUUUAAGCUUCACUAUGUAUUUGCAAAUUUUUCUUUGUGCACUGAAACAUUUAUUUUUUCUUCUGUAUUGUUUUUAUUUGAUCUCGGUUUUAUUUAUUGUUAUCGUUAUUCAUAAUAAUAUUAUUUUUAUUAAUACUAUUAUUAAAAUUAAUAAUAAUACUAAUACUAAUAUUAAUAAUAAUUUAAAUAAUAAAAAUAAUUUUAAUAUUACUACUAAUUAUAAUAAUAUUAUUAUUAUUAGUAAUAAUAUUAGUAUUAGUAGUAAUUAUAAUAAUAAUAAUUAUUAUUAUUAUAAUAAUAUUUUUUAACUAGUGUUAUUUAUUUAUCUUUAUAUUCUUACAAUUCCGAUUUAAUUUAGUCAAAUAUAUUCUUAAAGAAAAAAAAUAUUUAUUGUCAAACAUAAUUUUGAAUUGGAUUUUUUGACAUCAUUGUUAUAAUUUUAUUCAAAAUGAUUUUUUUUAUGUUUAAAUUUCAUAUUGUGAUUAAAUUUAGUAUGAAAGAUUUUAUUUAUUGAAGUACUGAGCAAUUGGACUCGAGUAUGAUUGAGGUUAAUCCGUUGGUCAUUUAAAAAAAUGGUUUAGGAAGUGGUGACCUAGUCUAACGGUUAGAGAGGAUGAUGAAUAAGGUGAAUUGAGUUUGUUUAUAACACAUUAAAUUUAUUAUUCACAUGAAAUUUAUUUUUCACAUGAAAAAUGAAAUCUAUUACUUUAAACAUGAUUGUUAAUAUGGAUAACAAAGACCUACUAACUAAUAAAAUUGUCUUAAAUCAUAAAUUAAAAUUAUUCUACACAACUACAAGUUGGAUUGAUUCGUUAUAAUAAUUGUACACGGAUAACAGUAACAUUAGAGAAAUUCAGCUUGUACGAGACUGUUUUCUCAAUGCCUUGUUUGAGAUUUUAUAUUUUGUUUGACUGUGUGGCUUUGUCGGUAUGGUAGACGUUCCUUGGUAGAAAGAGGAUAAAGUACAAAUUUGUAUAAGGGUUAGACCACUAUGUAGUGGUUCAUAUUUAUUAUUUUUUAUUGAUAAUAAAAAAACAAUUUUAUUAUCAUUUUAUUUUAUUUAUUUUGAUGGAUGUAUUACAAUAGUAUAAUAAAUUAUUAUAGAAUCAUAAUUUUGUAUUAGUUUUUUUUUACGUUCAAGUUAUAUUUAGUAUGUAUUUUUUUAAAAUAAAAUCAUAUUUAUAGAUUUUUGAACUUAUUGAAAUAUCGAAUAAAAUUAUUUGAAAAAUCUAUUAUUGAAUAUUAUAGAUCAUUCCAAGACUCAAUCAUAGAGGAACACAAACUCAUAGUACCAAAGGAUAACUUUUUUUUCAUUAAUUUAAUUUCCAACUCAUUGAGAUAAUUAUAAAAGCAUUUCUAUCCAUAACAUUAUGACAAAAUGUAAAGUACACUUUAUUUUCUUAAUAUAUAUAAUUUGACUUUGAUUAACCAAGUGGGCUUGCUGAUAAAAAAAAAACCAAGUGGGCUUCUUCAAUACCUGCAUCAUUUUAAUAUUUGGUAACAUUGUUUAUGGUUUCCCAAUUUUUACUUUAUGCAUAUGGACCCACUUUUUGUUUGUUGCUAUUUUACUUUAUUCAUUUUCAUUUUAUUUUUAAUUCAAAAUAUUAUUAUAUUAUUAUAAGUGUAUCUUAUUUACUGUUGUUUAUUGUUUAUGGUUUUAAAGUAACUUUUCUCUUUUGUCAUACAUUCACAUGGGGAGCGCUUAUUUGUUUGCAUGAAAAUUGGAAAUAAGGAGUUGAAGACGUACAAGAAAGAAAGAGUAACUCUAAAUAAAAGAAUAACUUCACUUUUUAAAAUAAUUAGUACGUUGAACCGUGGAACGCACGGGAAUUUUUUCAAUAUUUUAUAUGUAAAUAUUAAUAUUAAAAUUAAUAAUUUAAUUUAUUUAUAUAUAAUUUCAGUUAUACUUCCGUAUUUUUAUAUCUUUCUUAUAUAUUUUUAGUUGUAAUAUUUGAAAAAGUAGUUUUUGGAUCGAUCAAUACCAAAUGAGUGAGUUAUUUCACUUUGAAAAUUUAUCAACCACAUUAAAAUACAUUUAAGACACUCAAUAAAUGAGUUGCAACAAUUAUGAAAACUACCUACAAAUCAAAGUCAUAUCCCAUCUCGGUGAUACUCCGGGAAAAUAAUUAAUAUUAAUUUAUUGAAUAUAUUAUCUAAAUAUACAUAUCUAUAAAUCAGGGAAUCUCCUUAAAAAAUCACUUAACACUGAUAUUUGAUAAAUUCGACCCAUAACAAGAAAUGACUCAUGAGUAAACCCUUUACAAAGAAGGAAGAUACGCUUUUGAUCAAUUUCACUAUACACUCUUAACACAAGGUACUUACUUGAUCGUUGAAAAACCUUUUGCAAGUUAACUCCUAAUCGACUAUUGAGAAAUUGAGGAGAAGGAGUCUUGAAGUUUAAAUGAGUGAAGUACUGAGGAGCAAGGGAGGGACCGACAACCAAAACAAUUGUUACAGUCAAUCUCAUGUUAUAUCUAGUCUCACUUUGUCUAUACAAGUACAAGUACCAUAAUUUCAUCGUGUGUAAGAGGCUUGACGAGAAGAUUUGUUGUAUUUGACAUUCUCUAGUGGAAAGACAAUUUUUUUAGUUUUGUACUUCAUUUUUACACAUUGUUUUUUUGUGGUUUCCAAAAAAAAAAAAAACAAAACAAAAACAGAGUCACCACCGAACAAUCAUCAUCACUUGAAAAUGAAGAAGAUACAACACUCUCCAUCAAGUAUUGUUGGAAUUAAAAAAGAGUAUGUAAGUGGAGGAUGAAGAUAUGGAGGUGCAAAGAGAAUUCGCCAUCAAUUUUGUGCAUAUGGGACUACUUUUUUCAUCACAUUUUGGUAUCACCCUUCCUUCAUGGGUGUUUCUUUCUGCACCUUUAUAUUUUUCUUCCUGCACCCCAACAUUCAUGUGCAAUUACAAAAGUAUCUCUAAGACAUCUAAAAAACCCAAAAGGAGCAUAUCUCACUCUUUCUUUCUUCCUUUUCUACAAUUGUUGUAAAAAACGUGGUGGCCCACUUGCAGCAAACAGCAAAUAAUGGGCAAAGAAAACACGAUGACCCCACUUGCAGCAAACAGAAAAUAAUGAGUAAAUAAAAAAAUAGGGUUUGCAGGAAAUAUAGAAAAGAAUGAGGAAAGAAAAGAAUGGCAUGUGAAGGCAUUGUAAGGAAGGGUGAUGCCACAACGUUAUGAGAAUGAGUGGUUGUGAUGGAUGAAUGAAUAAUUAAGAUUCUUUCACAUUCUAAACAGUAUCUCACUUUCAUUCUCUAACCAUUUAUAGUAACAUCCCCACUUAUUCUUUCUUCUUUUAUAACAAAAAACAUAAACAACCACCCCUUUUUUCUUUCCUUUCUUUUAUUUACUACUUUUUUUAUAUCAUUUAAUUAUAAAUCUUUCUUUUGUUCUGAUCCCCAUGUGAAUGUCUGAAGAGGAAAUCAUUUAGGUGUCAAUAAGAACAUUGACAUAUUGGUUUAUAAUUAAAAAUUCUUGAUUUUGCAGACUUUAACUUUGAGUAGAAAGUUGAUAUUAUAUUAUUAUGUUUAUCUAUUUAUUAACUCAAAUUUAUUGAAUUGAAGAACUGAUUUUCUGCUUUGAUUUGUAAUAGAAUUAAACAAUUUUUAAAAUAAUUCAUAUUUAUUUAUUCCUUCAUACUAAUAAUAAAACUAACCACACCAACAAAAGUUUAACAACACAUAUGAUCGUGCCUUAUUUUACAACAACAGGAAUUUGCACCAAACAUAUGUGCCAUAAGGACUCAUAUUGCAGCAGCAAUUAUGGAAGGAAUCCUUUUUUCUUCAAAUCCUCUACAGAAUCCUUAAUAAUCUCCUCAAUUGGAGUGAUUUGCAAACCCAAAUCCAUAAGUUUCUUUGAUCCAUCCUUCACUCUCAAUAAUCCUGGUUGGGUAUCUCGUUGCAUCCUUUCAAGCAAAAUCACAAAGCACAUCAUUUACAAGUAAGUUAUGCAUUAACAAUACAUGUAUCAAGUGUGUGGCUAACUUACUUAGGCACUUUGUACUCUGGAUAAAGUUCACCAACUUUGGCUGCAAAAUCACCAUAGUGAGAGAUAGCUUCAACACACACAUGCCUACCAGCUGCAGAUUUGUUCUCAUACACCAAAAUAUGUGCCAAUGCUACAUCCUUAAAGUGAACCGAUCCCAUAAAAAUGUCCUCAUAUGUAUCAUCACAACCUGAGACGCAACAUACAAAAUGUCACAAAUUCUCAGUAAUUCCCCUGAAAAAUCAUAAAUUGGGUAGAGUUUGAUAUUUGUAUUCGGGUCAACGACUAUAGUGUGCAAAAAUAUAAUGAGAAGAGCAUAGCAUAAUCAAAUAAGUCUAAUACUUUUCACGAAGGCAUCAAGUUCUAAAUGCCCUACGCAACUAUAUACCAUGAACUAAGUUGUAGCAGGUCUUGUGAAAUUAGUCUAAUAACUAGGUAACAGAAACAGUAGCCCUAUUCACAUGAUACCAUUUUAUUCAGUUAAAAUAUUAUACAUUAUUCAUAAUAACAAGGUCCCUAACAUGGUGUUAAAUAGUUUUUUUAUGAGAAAAAAAAAUAAUCAAAAUAUUUCAAUUCAACCGUUAUAAGUCAUAACUAACUAGAUCUCUUAUAUUCAAUAAACAAGUUUCUAAAACAAACCCAAAACAUGACAAUCUACCAACAUGGUUUUCAAUAAUGGUAUGCAACUAUGACUUUAGUAUACAAUUCUUCUCAAAGGAUAUUUUCCUUUAAAAGAAAAAUUCCUUUGUCUUUCUGAGUGUCUCUCAGACACACCUUUCCAUGCAAUCAACGUUUCUCUAGUGGCUCAGUAAUACUUCUGUAAUAAUGCAGAAUAUUUCAGCACUUCUCAAUAUUCAAGAGACUCCUACUGCAAGAUUAGAAAGCAAUAUUUGGAAAAGGCAAUUGAUUAAGCAUAAGUCUCUCUCUACCUUGAAGAAGGCGCAAGAGCAUGAGCAUGCUUGCAUUAAGCCUGGGUGCAAUAACCUCACCCAAAACAAUGCCAGGAUUCACUGUAACAACAUCCAACCCACUCUCCUUUGCAAAAUCCCAAACUGCUUUCUCCGCCAAUGUCUUCGACAAUGAAUACCACAACUGUUCCACACACAAACACUUCACACACCAACACAUAACAAAAACAAACACAAAAUUCAAAAAAUUAAAACCCUUUCUAACCGCUUUUUGCUUGCAAAGUUCAACGUCAGCCCAACACUCCUCCCUCUUUGGAACAUCACCGGGCCAAGUGGGGCUCGGAAUAAUCGCCGCCACGGAGGACGUCACCACCACGCGACGCACUCCUGCUUCUUUCGCUGCCGUUAGCACGUUCGCGGUGCCCUUUAUCGCCGGGUCCAGAAGAUCCUUCUGCAUGAACACCCAAAUGGGAUUAUGCAAAAACCCAAAAGAUUGAAAAUUUGCGAGAAGAUCGAGAGAGCAAGACCUGGGGGUCCUGGACUUGACCAACAAUGCAGGGAGAGGCAAUGUGGAAUACGCCGGCGCAGCCGCGGAUGGCUUCGAGUACGGAGUCGUAGUGGAGGAGCUCCAUCUGGAAGAGGCGGAGGCGCUCCGACGCUCCAUCCAAGGCUUGUAGAUGCUUUGUCUCGGCCUCGUCGUCUGUUAGAAAAGUUGUGUUGUGAUGUGUUAGUAUUGGGGUGAAACGAAUGAAUAAUAUUGAGAGUGUGGAAUGUACUAACUGAGAUUUUGGACGGUGGCGUGAACGGUGUAGCCGCGGUCCAGAAGGAGGUGGACGAGCCAGGAACCGAUUGCGCCGCUGCCGCCGGUGACACACACCACCUUCUCCAUUUUGCAACUUAAUUCUAACACGAAAACGAUCACGAGAGACUGGAGAAGUCCACUAUGAAUUCAAGAGAAGAAGAAAGAAAGAAAGAAGUGUAAUGAUAUGUUGAAAAUACACAUUUUUAUAGAAUUAGAUUACAACUUUUACUAUUAUUUUAACUAGGAAACCCAGAUCCCUUUAGGUGUAUGUGUAUUCACAUUUUAAUAUUUUAUUCCAUUUUUACGAUAAAAAUUUAAUAUAUAUAUAUAUAUAUAAAUAAUUUUGGAUAGUGAAAUGACAAAAAAAAUAUAUAUGUAAAAAAAUAAUAAAUUAAUUAAAUAAUUAUUUUUAUUAGUAGUUUUGAUAUUGUAAAGUGUAAUGAUAAUGGUUUUAUCAAAAAAUUUGAAAUGCAGCGAAGAAAAUUAUUGAAAAUGAAUAUUAUUUUAUUUGAUAUUUGAGAUUUUGUGUUGAGUAUAUAUAUAUAUAUAUAUUUAUUUAUUUAUUUUUAUUUUUAAAUAAAAAAUUAGAAAAAGUGGGAAAAUUGCAGAUAAAUAUUAAUAAAAUGACAUAUAUUAAUAAAUUAUAAAAUACUAUAUUAUAUUAAUAAAAUGAUAUAAUUAAAUAAGGAUAAAAUAAAUAAAAAUUGUUUAAAAAAAAUAGUUAUAAUUGAAAAUAUCUUUUAAAUAGUUACAAAUAUUUUUUUCAUAUAAUGUAAUUACAAACUUAAUUCUUAUUAUUAUAUAUAUAUAUAUAUAUAUAUAUAUAUAUUUAGUUGUCAAAGUAUAUUUAUAAAAAAAAGAAAAGGGAAGACAGGGACAGGAGAAUUAAUUAUAGGAAAGUUGGGAGCAGAAGUAGGAAUGACCUACUACGAAAACCAACUCAAUAUUUUAAAGGAUCCGGAUAUUUUGACAACGUACACACCAUAUAACUCUGAAAAAGUAUUAAUAUUUUAAUAGUCUGUGAUCUUCUCUGAUAUUGUAAUCUUUUUCUAUUCGGGUUUUUUUUUUUUAGCUUUACUAUGUAUUUGCAAAUUUUUCUUUCUGCACUCAAACAUCUUUUUUUCUUCUGUAUUGUUUUGUAAUUGACUUCGGUUUUAGGAUUUUAUUAUUAAUAAUAAUAUUAAUAUUAAUAAUAAUUAUAAUAAUAUAAUAAAAUUAUUAAUAUUAAUAUUAGUAGAAAUUAAUUAUAGGAACCAAAUGUUUAUUUUACAAAAGCAAUUCCAUCCUACAAUUUAAUAAAUAUUAGUAUUCUAAUUAUUUAUAAAAAUUUAUAAUUUUAUUAAUUUAAAAAAAAUAAGUCUUAUAUAUAUUUUUGUUGAAAAGUUUUUUUUUUAAAAAUAAAUAUUAAUAUUUAUUGUGUCAUAACUCCUAUGCAAAAGUUGGUUCCAGAAGUACGAAAACCAAUUCAAUUAAAAUAGCCAAGUCUUACAAGUUGAGUACGAAAACCAAUUCAAUUUUUUAAAGGAUCCGGAUAUUCUAGAUAUUCUGACAAAUACGCAUAAUUUUUUUUAAUAUUUUAAUAGUGUGUGAUCUUUUCUAAUAUUGGAAUCAUUUUCUAACUUUUUUGUAGUUUUUUGUUUUGGGGUUUCGUAAUAAUUCUAAUAUUAAUAUUAAUUUCGGUUUUAGUAUUUUAUUAUUAUUAAUUUUAAUAAUAAUAAUAAUAAUAAAUAAUAUUAAUAAUAAUUUAAAUAAUAAUAAUAUUAUUAUUAUUAGUAAUAAUAUUAAUAUUAGUAGUAAUUACAAUAAAAUAAUAAUAAUGUUAAUAUGAAUAAUAACUAUAAUAAUAUUUUUUUAACUUAAUGUUAUUUAUUUAUCUUUAUAUUCUCACAAUUUCAAUUUAAUCUAGUCAAAUAUAUUUUUGAAUAAAAUAAAUAUUUAUUGCAAGCAUAAUUUUGAAUUGAACCUUUUUUGACAUUAUUUUUAUAAUUUUAUUCAAACUGAUUAUUUUAUGCUUCAAUGUAUAGUGUGAUUAAGUCUAGUAUGAAAGAUUUUAUUUACUAAAGUACUGAACAAUUUGACUUAAGUAUGGUUGAGGUUAAUUUGUUGGUCAUCCAGAAAAAUAGUUUAGGAAGUGAAGACAUAGUCUAAGUUUUUGCAGAGUGGUUAGGGAUAUGAUGAAUAAGGUGAACUGACAUCAAAAAUAAAAUCUAUUACUUUAAACAUUUUGAACAAUGUAACAUUGGUAACAGGAACCUACUAACUAAUAGAAUUGUCCAACUUGAAUUAUAAAUUAUAAAUAUUCUACACAACUUCAAGUUCGACUGGUCCACUAUGAUAAUUGUAUACGGAUAACAGUCACAUUAGAGAAAUUCCGCUUGGUGCCCUCCACUGGGGUUAGGGAUGAUAAUGCGAAGCGGGUCAAGCUGCAACCUGCUACCAAAAGGCACAGGAUGGGCUCACUAAUCUAGCCCGCGGACCCGUUUAGGCUCGUCCGACAUAACCCGCAGCACGCGCGGGCCAACAGCAUAGCGGGACGAGUUGGCCCGCUAACCCGUAUAAAUACAAAAGUAAUUAUUUUAUUUUUUUGUAAAAAAAAUCAUACUUCAUUCAUCCAUUAUUGCAGUGUGACAUUUAUUUUAUUUUAUUAAUUUUUUUGAAUAUAAUGUACUAAAAAAAAGAAUGUUUUAUUUUAAUCAUUUAAAUGAGUUAGUUUUUUUAUUAGCAAUUAAAAGUAAAUAAAUAAGAACCAAUUUAGGGGUGAUCCAACUCAUGUACAAAAUCGCACAUAAACGAACAAGUCAUCCUCCCAUAAGUUUGUCACUAACUUCCUACUAUAACAAAUACAAUCUGACCAACAUAAAUAAAUCACAUGUUUUAUCGAAGACAUACAAACUAGGAGAUCCAAACACUAAUUAGAAAAACAAGAAACAAGCAUAAGGGACUUGAGGUUGCCCACACGACCAGGCCUUUAGUUGAGUGAUAGAGUUAAUAUGAAGAGUGACACUGAAUUUAGUUUUAAGUAAAGUCUUAUAUUUAAAAUUUGUUAAUAAAAAAAUAAUAUAAAUAAGAGAUUUCAAUAGGAUGGUUAAAAUAUUAGUCAUCUUCAUUAAAAUAUUUUGUAGCAAAACUUUGAUAAAAUAUUCUUAUACAUUUACACACGUAUAUAGGAAAAAUAGAUGCAAAGCAAAACUUUAAUUAUUUUUAAUCAAGCCUUCUAACAAUCCUCAUACUUUAAUUUAUAUUUUUACCUUAAUUGAAUGAUUUGAAACAAGGAUAAAAUUUUAAUUUUUUAGUAGUAGGAAUAAUUUUUUUAAAAAUUAAUGAAAUUUUAAUUUUUGAGAAAAAAAUAUUUUUCUUAUACAAGUUGGCCCACACGCUCGCGGGUUACAUCUGAUGCGGGGCGGGUCAACGGAAUGAGUUUGCACUCCUUUUGUGGGGUGGGCCAACUUGACCCACAUUUUAUGGACCAAACUUGGGACGAGCCAACCUGCAUUGCCACCCCUAACGGGGGUCACUUCACACAUACCUCAUGCACCAUCCUAGCGAACAACCAAAGUAAACUCAAAAUGUUAGAAAUUUGUGAAAUUCAUAAUCCAUAUCAUCAUUUUGUUCUUUUUAAUACUUCUUUUAUUUUUGUAAAUUAUAUGAUUCUUUUGAUGAUUGUAUAUUAUUACGUGUAUGUACUCUAUUAGUUAGGUUACGAGGUCAAACUUUGUGGAUUUCUUAAAAAAAAUUCUAAAGAAUGCUUAUAAACAUUUUAACAAGAAAAGAAACAAGGAUGUAAAUGAUCAAUAAGAAAUAUUAUUAAAUUUUACUAAGAAAAUAAGGAUGUAAGUUAAUCACCGCAUCUAAAAUAUUAUUAGUUUUAUCCUUAAAAAACAUCUGGAUUGGAGGAGAAGAUAAUAUAUAAACUGUUAUUCGAUUCUGAAACCAUGUGGGAUUAUAUUGGUUAGUGGAAUACUUGUAAGAAAUGAUGUAAAUUAAUUUCUAUAAAGUGACUCACAUGACUUAGAGUUUGGGCUUUGGAUCCGAAUAUGAUUUAAUAAUAAUAAUAGAAUUAAAGGCUCAUUGGUUAAUGUGAGAAAUAUAUAUAUAUGAUGAUGAUGAUAUACCUAAUGGAAAACCCACAUCUGAUGGAGAUUGGGAACUAAAGGCUAUAGGGUUGAAGAAGGAGAUAAAGUAAUUGCUCAAUUAGGAUUACUCAUGGAUCAAGGUAAGUGCCUAUUUCUUCUUACGUUGCUCAUUUUUUGUAAUUCUCCAUUAAUGUUUUUUCAAAAUAUUGAAGAACCCUAAUUUUAAAAUAUUCCCAAUUUCAAGAACCCUAAUUUAAAAAAAAAAUAAGAUUUAUAGAUUAAGAUUUUCAUUCCUCUAUAAUAGAUCCCUAAUUGUCCUAAACCAUCAAAAUCAAAGAAACAUAAUUUUAAAAUAAUCCCAAUUGAAAAACCCUAAUUUUAAAAUUAGAGUUUAUGUAUUAAGGUUUACAUCAACUACCGUUUGGUGUCUGGAUAAGGGAUGAAACUACACGUGUGAAUUCGUUCCUGCACCUAUUGAAUUCACAAUAAUAGUUGACUCGUAUGGAAUGGCCCAUUAUUCUUCCCUGCACCUUACGUCCCUUUUGGAUGCACCUAUUAUUGUGAAUAGUAUCAACUAAUUUGGUUGCAUUUGUGUUACGGGAAAAUAAAAUAGUAUCAUGUAUGAUUUUUUUAUUUUAUUUAUUUUAUUUUAUUAUAUUUGUAAUGUAAUUUUUAAGAAAUUUUGUUAUGUUAUAAUGUAAUUUUAUUUGAAUUAAAUUAAUGCUUAAUUAAAGUUUUAAUGAAAUUUUAUUAUGUGUAAUUUUAUUUGCAUUAAAUUAAAGUUUUAAUGAAAUUUUAUUAUGUCAUAAUGUAAUUUAAUUUGUAUUAAAUUAAAGUUUAAUUAAUUGAUUGAAAGUGAGGAAUGGAAAAUUAUAUUUCCGCUUUAUGUAUUUAAUUUUAAAUUGAAAUUUUGGAAUUACUUGUAUGAUGGAUUUGUAAUCACCAAAGUGAUCAAAUCUUUAAGUUUUAUUUAAUUCCAAAUUAAGGAUGAAAUUUUAUUUCAUAUAAUGAUAUUAUUUAUGGAAUUAUUUGUAUGAUAGAUUUGUAAUCACCAAAGUCAUAAAAUCUUUAAGUUUUAUUUAAUUCCAAAUUAUGGAUGAAUUUUAUUUCAAUUAAUGAUAUAAUUUCUGGAAUUAUUUGUAUGAUAGAUUUGUUAAUCACCAAAGUGAUCAAAUCUUUAAGUUUUAUUUAAUUCCAGAUUACUGAUAAAUUUUAUUCCAAUUACCUAUAGAAUGGAUGCUAAAUUAUUUAUAUAUAUGGGUAAAUGGAAAUUCAUUAUUAUAGGGCAUUUUGGAUCACCCAAAGGUUGAUUAGUUGUCCUUAUAAUUAAUAGAUAUGAUUGUUGGUAGUGAGUAUGUGUUAUUAGUUUUGCUUGUAUAUCCAAAGAUAACAAGUGUUUCUAGUUAAUGCAUAUAUCUUACCAAAUAAAGUUAAUACUAUUAGCAUCAUUAUGUUUUGUGUAUUAAUGAAUCUCCCAAAGGAGAACAUUAGUAUAUAUAGAAUGUUUUCUGAAUCUGUAUUGUAUGUUUAGUUUAUGACUCAAAGUAUUAAUGUUAAGCAUGUGUGAUCAAGUAUCUGUUCCUGUAUCUUUAUGCGAAUGAGCAUAACAAGUAAUAUUAAGUCGGCUCUUCCCAAAACUGAUAGUGCAAAAGAAUUUAUGAAAUUUGUGGAAGAGCGCUCCCAAACUACUGAUAAGUCUCUUGUUGGGACAUUAAUGAGUACGUGGAGCAUACUCCAACUUUCAUGUAUGGCUCUGAAUAGUUUGAACACCNNNNNNNNNNNNNNNNNNNNNNNNNNNNNNNNNNNNNNNNNNNNNNNNNNNNNNNNNNNNNNNNNNNNNNNNNNNNNNNNNNNNNNNNNNNNNNNNNNNNACUAAGCUCCAGAAGAAGAAUGGCAAAUGUCAUUUAUGCAAGAAAUCUAGACAUUUCCAAAAGGAUUGUCUGAAAAUUAAGGCUUGGUUCGAAAAGAAGGGUAAGCAUAAUGCUUAUUAUGUAUGUUUUGAAUCAAACUUAACUGAAGUUUGACAUAAUUCUUGGUGGAUUGAUUCUGGAUGCACAACUCAUGUUUCUAACAUGAUGCAAGGAUUCCUUUUAACCCGAACCAUAAAGCCAAAUGAAAAGUUUGUCUUCAUAGGGAAUAGAGAAAAGGUUCCAAUGAAAGCAGUUGGGACUUAUCGUUUAAUCNNNNNNNNNNNNNNNNNNNNNNNNNNNNNNNNNNNNNNNNNNNNNNNNNNNNNNNNNNNNNNNNNNNNNNNNNNNNNNNNNNNNNNNNNNNNNNNNNNNNAUGCUUUUUAUGUACCUAGUAUAUCUAGGAAUUUAGUUUCAUUGUCUAAACUUGAUGUUGCCGGAUACUCUUUUAAAUUUGGGAAUGGAUGUUUCAGUUUAUAUUAGCGUACCUAUUUGAUUGGAUUUGGUACUCUUUAUGAUGGAUUAUAUAGAUUGAACCUUGAUAAUCUAUAUGCUGAAACUCUUAUGACCUCGCAUCAUAAUGUUGGCACUAAACGUAGUUUAGUGAAUGAAUGUUCUGCUUUCUUAUGGCACAAACGUUUGGGACAUAUUUCCAAAGAAAGGAUGGAGAGAUUGGUAAAGAAUGAAAUACUUCCAAGUUUUGAUUUUACUGAUUUGAAUGUAUGUGUGGAUUGUAUUAAAGGAAAACAAACAAAACACACAAAGAAGGGAGCCACAAGAAGUACUCAGCUUCUUGAAAUUAUACACACUGAUAUAUGUGGACCUUUUGAUGCAAGUUCUUUAAAUAAAGAAAGGUAUUUUAUCACCUUUAUUGAUGAUUUUUUACAUUAUGGUUAUGUCUAUUUACUGCAUGAAAAAUCGCAAGCGAUGAAUGCCUUGGAAGUUUAUAUAAAUGAGGUGAAAAGGCAAUUAGACAAAAAGGUGAAAAUUGUCAGGUCAGAUAGAGGUGGUGAAUAUUAUGGAAAGUAUGAUGAAAGUGGACAACACCCUGGUCCGUUUGCUAAGUUCCUUGAGAGACGUGGUAUUUGUGCUCAAUACACAAUGUCAGGUACACCACAACAAANNNNNNNNNNNNNNNNNNNNNNNNNNNNNNNNNNNNNNNNNNNNNNNNNNNNNNNNNNNNNNNNNNNNNNNNNNNNNNNNNNNNNNNNNNNNNNNNNNNNNNNNNNNNNNNNNNNNNNNNNNNNNNNNNNNNNNNNNNNNNNNNNNNNNNNNNNNNNNNNNNNNNNNNNNNNNNNNNNNNNNNNNNNNNNNNNNNNNNNNNNNNNNNNNNNNNNNNNNNNNNNNNNNNNNNNNNNNNNNNNNNNNNNNNNNNNNNNNNNNNNNNNNNNNNNNNNNNNNNNNNNNNNNNNNNNNNNNNNNNNNNNNNNNNNNNNNNNNNNNNNNNNNNNNNNNNNNNNNNNNNNNNNNNNNNNNNNNNNNNNNNNNNNNNNNNNNNNNNNNNNNNNNNNNNNNNNNNNNNNNNNNNNNNNNNNNNNNNNNNNNNNNNNNNNNNNNNNNNNNNNNNNNNNNNNNNNNNNNNNNNNNNNNNNNNNNNNNNNNNNNNNNNNNNNNNNNNNNNNNNNNNNNNNNNNNNNNNNNNNNNNNNNNNNNNNNNNNNNNNNNNNNNNNNNNNNNNNNNNNNNNNNNNNNNNNNNNNNNNNNNNNNNNNNNNNNNNNNNNNNNNNNNNNNNNNNNNNNNNNNNNNNNNNNNNNNNNNNNNNNNNNNNNNNNNNNNNNNNNNNNNNNNNNNNNNNNNNNNNNNNNNNNNNNNNNNNNNNNNNNNNNNNNNNNNNNNNNNNNNNNNNNNNNNNNNNNNNNNNNNNNNNNNNNNNNNNNNNNNNNNNNNNNNNNNNNNNNNNNAAGAGAGUCGGGUGUAAAUGGGUCUUUAAGACUAAAUGUGACUCUCAUGGAAACUAAUGAUCUUGGUCUAUUAAGUGAGACUAAGAAGUUUCUCUCUAAUAACUUUGAGAUUAUGGGUGAGGCAUAAUAUGUGAUAGGAAUAGAAAUAUUUUGUGAUAGAUCACAAGGACUGUUAGGUUUGUCUCAGAAAGCAUAUAUUAAUAAAGUUUUAGAGAGAUUCAGAAUGGAUAUUCAAAAUCUCCUGUUCCAAUACAGAAAGGAGACAAAUUUAGUCUCAUGCAAUGUCCAAAGAAUGAUUUGGAACGGAAACAAAUGGAGAAAAUACCUUAUGCAUCUAUUGUUGGGAGUUUAAUGUAUGCUCAAACUUGUACACGACCAGAUAUUAGUUUUGCAGCUGGUAUGCUUGGUAGAUACCAGAGUAAUCCAGGAUUGGAUCAUUGGAAAGCUGCAAAGAAAGUUUUAAGAUACUUGCAAGGAACAAAGAAUCACAUGCUUACUUAUAAAAGAUCAAAUUAUCUUGACGUGAUUGGAUAUACAGAUUCAGAUUUUGCUGGCUGUGUGGAUACACGAAAGUUUACAUUUGGUUAUGUGUAUCUUUUAACCAGAGGAGCGAUUUCAUGGAAAAGUGCGAAGCAGUCAGUCAUUGUUGCGUCCACUAUGGAAGCUGAAUUUGUGGCAUACUUUGUUGCGUUCAGGACUUGGAAUUGUUGACAGUAUUGUCAAGCCGCUGAAAAUUUAUUGUGAUAAUUCCGCAGCAGUCUUCUUUUCUAAAAACGACAAGUAUUCUAAAGGUGCUAAACAUAUGGAAUUGAAAUACUUUUCCGUUAAAGAAGAAGUUCAGAAACAUAAAAUGUCAAUAGAACAUAUUAGCACUGAUCUUAUGAUUGCUGACCCUUUAACAAAAGGGUUACCGCCCACUGGUCAUGUUGUAAAUAUGAGCAUUAUGUUACUAGUGAAUUAUGAAUGUUGUUAUUAAUGCUUAUUUGACACUUUGAGCUCAUUGAUAAAUAAAGUUUCUGAAAUUUAUGUUGUUUUCUACUUUAUGUAUAUGCAUGCAAAUUAUGUUAUGAUGGUGUGGAAAACAAAUUAUGUUGUUAUUGAUGACAAUGACAUUAUGUUUGAACCUAUUAUGAAUUUCUCACUAUAAAGUACAUGGAAGGAGAUGUGUUGAUUGAAAUGACAUGUAACCGCAUGACUCUUAUUAUUUUUGUAUCCUUGAUCUUGAUUAAUGUUAGAACCAAUUUAUGUAAGGCCUUUUAAAUGCGCAUUUAUGUCAUUAUUAAAUCAUGAAAGUAUUAUAACUCAUAUGAAGUGGGAGAAUGUAAGAAAUUAUGUAAAUUAAUUUCUAUAAAGUGACUCACAUCACUUAGAGUUUGGGCUUUGGGCCCGAAUAUGAUUUAAUAAUAAUAAUAGAAUUAAAGGCCCAUUGGUUAAUGUGAGAAAUAUAUAUAUGAUGAUAUACCUAAUGGAAAACCCACAUCUGAUGGAGAUUGGGAACUAAAGGCUAUAGGGUUCUGUCUCUGCAAAUAAUAGUUGUCUCACUGUUAACCAUCACGAAAGUGUGUGACAAUACGGAAUUGCUAAGAGAUAGAUUGGGAAGAAGGAGAUAAAGUAAUUGCUCAAUUAGGAUCACUCAUGGAUCAAGGAAAGUGUCUAUUCCUUAUUGAUUGUAUGAUUGUGUGAGAAUCAUAAUAUGAUAAGAUCUGAUAACAUUAUUGUAUGUGUUCAAUUUACAUUUAUUCAUGUUUAAUCUUACAUAUAUAAGUUACACAUCUUUCACAGCUACAUUCAUUCUUCAAUUUUAUUUCCUCAAAGCAUUACCUAUGUUAUAAAACGUGUUGAUGUGUUUAUAUUAGUAAGUAUUUUAUAGCAAUGUUAAAAUUAAUAUAUCAUUAAUAAUAUAUAAUACGUAAAAUAUCAUGGUGUCUAUUAAAAUUUAUCUUUUUCAAUCGUCCGUUGAUUUGUGAAACUUUAUAUAUCUAUUUUUUUUUCUUCCUGAUAAAAGAAAAUACACUUAAUCAUCUAUGAUUGGAUUAAUAUACAACAUCUUUUCUUCUGUCAUAGCAUCUUUAUUCAAAUAAUCAAACACAUUUACACCAAGAUUCAUUCAAGCUUCACUCAAGUUUGAAACUAACCCCAACCUAACUGCUUUGACUAGACUAACAUAUCCAAUAAAAACAUAAAAAAGAAACAAGACAAACUAGAAAGAAGCAUGGGAAAAGAGAUUGAAACUGGAUUAAUGAAAAUAUGUAUCUAAGUUUAUGGAUAUAAUGUUUUUUGCUUAGAUGAUAGUUAGAACUAUCAUGCAGCUACACCUCCAUUUAGAAGCAUCUGAUCAAAGUGCCACACACCUACAAGUCCAACAACAUUACUUCAAUUUCACCAAAUAUAUGUGAAUAGUGAAUCAACCAAUUUGAUUUAUUAGGUACAAGCAACAAACCAUGUCCUUUGCCCACCCUUCUUAACUGAGCCACAUAUUCUGAGAUCUUCUUAAUAUCUUCCACCUUUAAGCAAAAGAAUAAACUAAUGAGAACAUUUCUUUUCAUGCUACUCAAAACAGAUGCAAAAUUUUGUAAACUAGAAUUGGAAUUUCAGCUAGCUAAUGUAUGCAAUAAAUAAUUUUAUACUCAGGUUCAAACAGUAUACAAAUGGAGUAACAUUUGACUGCAUUUAGGCCAAGAGAUUCUUUACCUGAUCGAAUAAAAACUGGCUUUCCAGAAAGUCAACAAAUUGAGCAUCGUUGUUUUCAUUUGCUAACUGCAUAAUAGUAAUAAAAACUAGUUAUUGGCAUAAAAACAUUGUCAUGCAGAAUAACUAUAGCAAAAGGAAAAAACAUAUGGAAAAUUCCACUGGAAGAUAGCGAGACUAAAAAGUGUUUGAGUUGAAUUGACAGAAAAAAAUAAGAAAAUAUAGCUAUAAGUUGUACGCUGUGUAAAUUUAGAAGCUUCUCAUUGUUCAGCCUUUCCAAAGACAAUGCAAGUUCCAUUGCUGCAAAAUGGGAGGAAACAGGAAUCGUAAGUAUAAUUGAAGAAACUGAGAAAGCAUUCAAGAAAACAGUUUUGAGUGAAAUAUUAAUUACACAUAUAUAUGUGUGGGUGUGGGUGUGUGAGAGAGAAAAAGUUACCAUAUAAUGCAUCACCCUUUUCUGCAUGAUCAAACUCUGAAAAUGGCAUCAGCAUUGACUGCAGCUGAACCUUGCCUCCUCUUUUAUUCUGGUAAUUAAUAUCGUCAGGAAUAAAAAUAAUUUACAAAAAGGAAUGCCAGAAAAACUACUGUCAUGAAGUGUAUGAAUCACUGAUAUAGAAAAAUGCCUGAUAUUCCAUCAUCAUCUCAGCAUGAUGUCUUUCCUCCAUACUUGCGUCCUUGAAAAAUCUGGAAAAUUUUGUGUAAUAAUUACCAACAAUUAUGUCAUAAUAAAAUUCAAAUUACAAAAGAACUUGAUAUUUUCAAGGGUAAUACUUGGCUAAUCCUUUCAGAGCAACAUUAUCUCUGUCGAAAUAGGCGUACAUGGCAUGAUACACGUAGGAGACAUUGUAUUCCACGCUGAAUCAAAACAAAAUCAAAAUUAGCAUAAGAUAUUUGCAUGAAUGUGCCAACGAGAGCAAAACAAUUCUUAAAAAAAAAUUAAACUUCGUAAUUUCUCAAGCACCCCUUUAAAUUUAUGGAAAAAACUUAGAUACAUACUGUUAGUAUAUUAGAUACACAGAUAAGCUCCAAUUCCAAUUAAAAAACCAGUUAGCUAUAUUCGAGUUUUGACCCUAAAAACUGUGAUAAAUUAUAAACCAGUUUAGAUAAGAUUUGCCUCUACUAUGAAAUGCUCUAAUCUUUAAUUAAUCUGAGAUUUUCACAUAAAACAAAACAAAAAUAAGCUCACUUGAUCUGUGUAUUGAGUGCAGCCUCAGACUGAUGAGUGUACUUCUGGCGAGCCAGUGAUGCAUGGAGCUCUGUGGGGAUGACAAGAAGCUCUUUUUUCACUUCCUCAAAAGGUUCAAACGCUAUAUUCGAAAUGGGUUGGUUCAUAGUGUCCUUGGAGGCCUUAGCCACAACCCCACAACCCCCAUUUCUCUUGCAGAAUCUCACACCAUUCACAGGGUUGAAAAAGGGUCCAGAGGAAGACAGAGAAGGGACAAGCUUCACUCUUUCAGAGAGCGAGACACGGACGAAUGAAGAAGUUCCCGAGAGCAUGGUCAAAAGACUCAGAACCACUCUGAAAUCAAGAGAAGAAGAAU